This 464-nucleotide ribosomal RNA is filed under the name Vreelandella stevensii. Its description in RNAcentral is "partial 16S ribosomal RNA". It matches the Rfam family "Bacterial small subunit ribosomal RNA", at positions 338 to 795 of the family's 1533-position model. Lineage: Bacteria; Pseudomonadati; Pseudomonadota; Gammaproteobacteria; Oceanospirillales; Halomonadaceae. The record is from RNAcentral.
CCUACGGGCGGCUGCAGUGGGGAAUAUUGGACAAUGGGGGGAACCCUGAUCCAGCCAUGCCGCGUGUGUGAAGAAGGCCCUCGGGUUGUAAAGCACUUUCAGUGAGGAAGAACGCCUGGUGGUUAAUACCCAUCAGGAAAGACAUCACUCACAGAAGAAGCACCGGCUAACUCCGUGCCAGCAGCCGCGGUAAUACGGAGGGUGCGAGCGUUAAUCGGAAUUACUGGGCGUAAAGCGCGCGUAGGUGGCUUGAUAAGCCGGUUGUGAAAGCCCCGGGCUCAACCUGGGAACGGCAUCCGAAACGGUCAAGCUGGGGGGCAGGAAGGGAGGGAAAAAUUCCGGUGUAGCGGUGAAAUGCGUAGAGAUCGGGAGGAAUACCAGUGGCGAAGGCGGCCUUCUGGACUGACACUGACACUGAGGUGCGAAAGCGUGGGUAGCAAACAGGAUUAGAUACCCCAGUAGUC